UGCUCGGUAGUGGGGGACUGCUGGGAGAUAUUGGUCCAGACGGUGGGGCUAGUCUCUUCCAUUGAUGACUGAUUGAUUGUGUGCAUGUGUGUGUCCAUGUGUGUGAGCAUGCAUGUUUAUAUAUGAUUGUGUAUAGGCUGGAGGUCAAGAUUGGAUAUCUUCAUCUUUCUCUCCACCUUACUUUUUUGAGGCAGGGUCUCUCCCUGAAUCUGGAGCCCACUCCUUCUGCUUUUGGAACACAAGCAUGUGCUGACGUAUGUUAUGGCUUGUUAUGUGGGCGCUGGGCAUCUGGACCCAGGUCCUCAUGUCUACACAGUAUGCCCUUUAGUAACUGAAAUACACAGGACAGGCCUUUUUCUUAUCCUGUGGCUGAGCCACCUGUCCCCUCCUCAUAGAGGACAGAAGCACACAUUCUUGGCCCUCCUGUCCCAAGAUAGUCUAGUCUUAGUAGACAGAAGCGAACACAUACAAAUUCUAUUUCUUUUCCAUGCUUGUUUAAACAGAUGACAGAAUUGUAUACACACGUCGCAGGCCGUUUUCAGUCUAAACAAUAACAACGGGUUGUUGCCGGCUUCUCUGUGGCUAGGGACUCUUCCUUCUUAGGAAUUUAUCUAAACAUCUUCCUGCAGAUGGAUGUGUUUCCAGUCCUUGGCUCUUUCAAGUGGCUGUCCUCUGUCCAUCUCUGAGACAAAUGCACGGCCAUCCCUGUCUCAGAAAUGGGACAGCCUGGUCAUAGAGGCGUGUUUCCAAGCCCCUGUGACCUCUGGUACCAGUUGACUGCUCUGGCCUGGUCCUUGGAAUGCUGCAGAGUGAUCAGAUUUUGCUACAGGGACCUGAGCAGGUGCCAGGGUGGGGAUCUCCCAUCCCAGGGCCUUUUCUAGAAUGUGCUUAGUCAAACCUGGCACCCUGAGCUAGGAUAAGCUGAGGUGAGCGGGUUGAGACAAAGCUACCUCACUUAAAGAGUGGCGUGUGGGUACCUCUUUGUGCCUGGCGGCAGUCUCCGAUGCCAGCAAAGAAUUCCCAAGUGCAUUAUUUCUGGCCCCCUUUUUACUCUGCUUCCGAAAUGGAGACUUUUAUGACAAGGUAUUGCUUUUUAGGAAGGGCAUUCUUCAAGGAGAAGGAGUGGUACCAGUCCCCACGGAGGGCUUAUGGGUAGUGAUGCUCACACUAAUCUCCCAAUGUCAUCCUCAGCACAUGUCACCCGCCCUGUAGUGGGCUUUCGCUAGCUCUUCUCCAUAGCUGGUCAGAUGGGCAAAGAGAAGGUUUUGCACAGGGCAGUCUCCUGGAGUUCUUCUUCCUCCUGCCACUCCCCUUCCCCUCCUCAAGGAGUGAUGGUGAUGGUGGUUUGUACCAUUCAGGUAGGGUACCCUUGGCUGUGGGCAUGACAUGGGCUCUUUGACUUGGGCUCUCCACAAAGAGGGUCCUUUGUCCUUUCUGUAUUGCCCUGCCUCUGACACUCUAGAGUUUAGGACCUUUCACUUGAAAAAAAACCACGUCUGUCUUACCUGUGCCUGGGAGCUGGUCGGUGUUGACAGAGCCAUGCUCUGGGGUCCUCCCUCUCCGGCCCUUCUUUCUUUCUUUUUUUUUUUUUUUUAAAGAUUUAUUUAUUAUAUGUAAGUACACUGUAGCUGUCUUCAGACACUCCAGAUCUCGUUACGGAUGGUUGAGAGCCACCAUGUGGUUGCUGGGAUUUGAACUCCGGACCUUCGGAAGAGCAGUCGGGUGCUCUUACCCACUGAGCCAUCUCACCAGCCCCCGGCCCUUCUUUCUACAGCUUCCAUUUGUCCUGAGAGUCUGGGACAGUGAGGCCACAUAAACAGAGCAGCAUGUCACAGAUGGCCUGAGGACGCAGAAUUCUGCCUGGACCACCCAAGGCUUGGCCCUGUAUCUCUUGGGAAACCCUCUGUCCCAGCUGUACAUGCCUGGCCCUGUCACUGUGCUGUUUUCCUGUCUUUCCUGAGUGUUUAGGAGGUGACAGCUGGAUGAUACCCUGGAGGGCCAGAGCAGGAAGCAGAAGGAAUAAGGAUUCCAGCCUGAAUCAGUUUGCUUGCCAAAUGGAGCUUUGUUUUCAGAUCAUUGCCAUUGGGGUUUGAGACGAAGGUGCUUUGCUUCUGUCUCGGACAGGGCAUUUGGCCAAAGCCCCACUGACUUUGGCUUUGCCUAUAGGCUGAGUGCCUUAAAGGGGCAUUGACCAGUGUCUCCAACAUCAUUUUACCUUACUGCCUCUCCUUCAAGCUACGACUUGUGGUUCUCAAGGUCUGAUGGAGACCGAAGCUCCUUACAUCCAUCCAAGGCCUCCACAGAGGAUCCGUUAUGCCCUUGGAUGGGAAACCACAACUCAUCAGAGUGACAUUGCCCGGGUGGGCCGUAUGACUGGCACCUUCUUUACUGAAGAUGGUGAUACCAAUGACUGGUCACUGGACUGGUGGGUGUCUGCAGCUAAGCUUAAUCCAGCCUGUUUGGAUAGUUUUAUUUAACCCUUAGAACAGUCCCUCAGGGGUGGAGUUUUUGACACCAGUCCCGCUUAGUGGUAAACUGAGGCAUUACAGCCAGCAGGACAUCCUUGAAGUCACAGAAGAAGCCACAGAAAGAGCCAGGAUUUAAACCUCAAAGGCGCCAUUCCAGAAUCGUACCACCACCGCCCCUAUUGGGUGCUUUGUCAGGGCAGCUGUUGCAGAGGGUUCUCCUUAAUUAAAAGAAGCGCAACUCUUCAUUUGGGGAAAGCAUGUGCCAAGAUCCAGAAGAAUAAAGUAGCCCCUUCACCCACCUGCCAAUCAGCUGCUCCAGCAGUUAACCCAUUCCUGACCUGCCUUGUGGCAGAGCUAACGUGUGGACACCCCUCUGCCCCAGCCACUGCGUUAUUUGUGGUUAAGUGAUCUCCAAAAAAAAGAGUAGGUGUGUGUUUGUGUGCUUGCGUGCAGUGUGAAUGUGCUUGGGCAGGUGUGCACCCAACUUAACCCCUUCCACUUUAGUUUUCGAGACAGGGUGGUCUCUUGCUGCAUCUCUAGUUAACCUAUCCGGUUACACCAGCUGGCCAGGGAGCCCCAGGCAUCUUCCUGUCUCGGCCUCUCUGGUGCUGGAGAUGACCAGCACUGACGACCACAUCUGGCCCUUUACAUGAGUGUGGGGAUCUGAACUCAGUCCCUAAUGCUUGUGUGACCAGCACGUUACUGAAUGAGCCCACGUUCUUUUAAUUAGUUAGUUAAUUAGUUAGUUUUUGAGACAGUGCCACAUGUAGCCCUGUCUUGGAAUUCAUACAGACAGAUGAAGCUGGCCUCAAACCCACAGGGAUUCUCCUAUCCUUGCUUCCCUUGUGCUGGAAUUAAAGGCUUGCGUCACCACAUCUGGCCUGGGCUCUUUGAGAGAAAUAAGGUCACAACUACCACACGGAUAGUCAUUUUCUGUGAUCAAAAGCCCAGGCAAUAUUUUCUUUUCAUUAAAAAAAAAAAGAUUUAUUUAUUUAUUUUAUGUAUAUGAGCACGCUGUAACUAUGCAGAUAGUUGUGAGCCAUUGUGUGGUCGCUGGGAAAUGAACUCAGGACCUCUGCUCACUCCAGCCCUGUUCGCUCUGGCCCAAAGAUUUAUUUAUUAUUACAUGUGAGUACACUGUAGCUGUCUUCAGACACACCUGAAGAGGGCGUCAGAUCUCAUCACGGAUGGUUGUGAGUCACCAUGUGGUUCCUAGGGUUUGAACACAGGGUCUUCAGAAGGGCGGUCAGUGCUCUU
This 3725-nucleotide long non-coding RNA is filed under the name Mus musculus (house mouse). RNAcentral's name for it is "long non-coding RNA chr8:117309249-117312974". The record is from RNAcentral. Lineage: Eukaryota; Metazoa; Chordata; Mammalia; Rodentia; Muridae.